This 468-nucleotide ribosomal RNA is filed under the name uncultured bacterium. Its description in RNAcentral is "partial 16S ribosomal RNA". It matches the Rfam family "Bacterial small subunit ribosomal RNA", at positions 28 to 507 of the family's 1533-position model. The record is from RNAcentral.
GACGAACGCUGGCGGCGUGCUUAACACAUGCAAGUCGAACGGAAAGGCCCUGCUUUUGUGGGGUGCUCGAGUGGCGAACGGGUGAGUAACACGUGAGUAACCUGCCCUUGACUUUGGGAUAACUUCAGGAAACUGGGGCUAAUACCGGAUAGGAGCUCCUGCUGCAUGGUGGGGGUUGGAAAGUUUCGGCGGUUGGGGAUGGACUGGCGGCUUAUCAGCUUGUUGGUGGGGUAGUGGCUUACCAAGGCUUUGACGGGUAGCCGGCCGGAGAGGGUGACCGGCCACAUUGGGACUGAGAUACGGCCCAGACUCCUACGGGAGGCAGCAGUGGGGAAUAUUGCACAAUGGGCGGAAGCCUGAUGCAGCAACGCCGCGUGCGGGAUGACGGCCUUCGGGUUGUAAACCGCUUUCGCCUGUGACGAAGCGUGAGUGACGGUAAUGGGUAAAGAAGCACCGGCUAACUACGUG